RNAcentral lists this unclassified non-coding RNA (1057 nucleotides) under Yarrowia lipolytica. Lineage: Eukaryota; Fungi; Ascomycota; Dipodascomycetes; Dipodascales. The record is from RNAcentral.
GCACCUAAACGGGUGCUCCAAUGAUGACGGCUUUCAACGAUAUGGCAAGAGGGGACUAUUACUUGCCACAAAAGGAUGUUUUUAACCCACAUCUCAAACGACAUGUCCAUUUACCGACACCCACACUCAUCCAGUCAUGUCUCAGGCAUUCUCCUAACCCUACGUCAUAUGGCCCCUUUUCUUCCUGUUGCGGACACUCUGAUUGUCAGAUUUUCUACGGAGGCGAAACUUUGGCAAAAGUAACGUUGGAUCGACGCUAGACCACGGAGGGCAGAACAAAGGACGGCGGCUCUCAUGUAUGGCUCGUACCUCUUCCUUCUGACUGUUGCAGCUACUUUCACGGACACUCGUACUUGCCCAAAGCUGCUAUUGUCAAUGAUGGAACGGAGCUUCACGAGUCGUCGUGAUACUGGCGACCGACAGUACCAAGCUCUAUCGAAAUAGCUCGCCUUCUCAUGUUCUAGACCGCACUAAAUCUUACGAGUUGCUUCACUACAAUCGAAAAAACGCACACUAGUCGGCUGUUAGUGGCAUGUCCUCUGCACCAGCUCCAUUAGUUCGGUUUUAAGUGUCGGUUAGGUUGGUUCCAUGAUCCCCCAGCCCUGGAAUGCACCUUUGUCCUUGAACGCCUAAGACCGGCGUCGUAUUACCCUUUGGAGCUGAUCAGUGUCUCAGAGAGCCGUAUUGUACGCGACGAUAGGUGCUAGUGACCCCGUCUGCUUCCUCCGGUCUCCUGUCCACGCCAAGAAGCGGCUUAUAGCAUUUGUUUAUCAUAGCGCCAGUCGUCUAUAGGGUGUAAAUUGAAGACGUGCUAACCAAACCAAGGGGUAUGGUUUGCUAUAAGUAGGUUGCUACCGGUACACUACAGUAUGGGAUGUGUGCGUGUUGAUUGUGGCCGCUUUUACCCCGGAUCCAAAUGUUAACCACCUUUUUCCGGUGAACCAACUAUUUUCUACUUUAAUGGAAGGGGAGAUAGCUUCUCCUUUGGUCACUUCCGGCUUCCGUUAGCCGUAAUGAUGUCCCGAACCUACUUGUUACAACUUUUUACUCGAUUACU